ACUUUUUGUGUGAUAGUAACUAUAUGAAAUUAUAUAGAUCUAUAAAUUGUCUGACCCAUAUAUCUUGAAAAAUGAGAUAAUUCUAAAUUUCCAGUGAAAGAACGCACUGAAAAUGCGUGUGCGAACUAGACUCUAGAGCAGGGACCUUCACGUAAUGUAUGCGCGCACCCCUGGCCACCCCUUGGGGGCGCCCCUGACUAUCAACUACAGCUAAGCAACAGUCUACAACGUGUUUAGGAAAACUGUUAUUGUUCAUUAGAUAAUAGAGGUAAUCAGCAGGCCUACUGUUAAAUCAUAAUGUAACGUUGAUUAGAUGGACUGAUUAACUAGCUAGCCAGCUAGAAUAGCUAGCCUCCAUAAUAAGAUCAUCACUUACAGUACAGCGCUGUUUGCUAAAGUAGUUUCUAAUGUCUCCUCCGUUCUCUUGGACAUUGUGAGUUUGGGAUGAUGUAAAUUAGGCUACUGUAGUCGAUCACACCGGUGUGAUUAGAACGGUCAGUGCAUGACGUGAUCAACUGCUAAAUUCAAAUGUGCUUUCGCGCGUUGGCUGGCGCUGAGUAUUUCGGGAGAAGUGGAUUAAUUCACGUGUUGUAAAUCCAACAGACCCGAUUCUCUGAACUGCGUCUGCGGCACAAAUCGCGCAUACAGCUCAACUAACGCGAUCGUUAUAAAGGUGUUUAAACAGCAAAACACUUCAACUUGCAUAUAUUUGACAAUCGGAAUAUCA
Cyprinus carpio carpio is the source of this 727-nucleotide long non-coding RNA. The record is from Ensembl. NCBI's taxonomy places the organism in Eukaryota, Metazoa, Chordata, Actinopteri, Cypriniformes, Cyprinidae.